Molecule: ribosomal RNA, 465 nt
Filed under: Vreelandella stevensii
Lineage: Bacteria; Pseudomonadati; Pseudomonadota; Gammaproteobacteria; Oceanospirillales; Halomonadaceae
Description: partial 16S ribosomal RNA
Rfam family: Bacterial small subunit ribosomal RNA
Source: RNAcentral
CCUACGCGGAGCAGCAGUGGGGAAUAUUGGACAAUGGGCGAAAGCCUGAUCCAGCCAUGCCGCGUGUGUGAAGCAGGCCUUCGGGUUGUAAAGCACUUUCAGUGGGGAAGAAAGCCUUGGGGCUAAUACCCUCGAGGAAGGACAUCACCCACAGAAGAAGCACCGGCUAACUCCGUGCCAGCAGCCGCGGUAAUACGGAGGGUGCGAGCGUUAAUCGGAAUUACUGGGCGUAAAGCGCGCGUAGGCGGUCUGAUAAGCCGGUUGUGAAAGCCCCGGGCUCAACCUGGGAACGGCAUCCGGAACUGUCAGGCUAGAGUGCAGGAGAGGAAGGUAGAAUUCCCGGUGUAGCGGUGAAAUGCGUAGAGAUCGGGAGGAAUACCAGUGGCGAAGGCGGCCUUCUGGACUGACACUGACGCUGAGGUGCGAAAGCGUGGGUAGCAAACAGGAUUAGAUACCCCUGUAGUC